This 232-nucleotide ribosomal RNA is filed under the name uncultured bacterium. RNAcentral describes it as "partial 16S ribosomal RNA". It matches the Rfam family "Bacterial small subunit ribosomal RNA", at positions 15 to 236 of the family's 1533-position model. The record is from RNAcentral.
GAUCCUAGCUCAGGAUGAACGCUAGCUACAGGCUUAACACAUGCAAGUUGAGGGGAAACGACAUCGAAAGCUUGCUUUUGAUGGGCGUCGACCGGCGCACGGGUGAGUAACGCGUAUCCAACCUGCCCAUCACUUGGGGAUAACCUUGCGAAAGUAAGACUAAUACCCAAUGAUAUCUCUAGAAGACAUCUGAAGGAGAUUAAGGAUUUAUCGGUGAUGGAUGGGGAUGCGU